GACGUAGGGUGCGAGCGUUGUCCGGAAUCACUGGGCGUAAAGGGCGCGUAGGCGGCCUGGCAAGUCGAUGGUGAAAGCCCGAGGCUCAACUUCGGGUCGGCCACUGAUACUGCUGGGCUUGAGUCGACUAGAGGCAGAUGGAAUUCCGGGUGUAGCGGUGGAAUGCGUAGAGAUCCGGAAGAACACCGGUGGCGAAGGCGGUCUGCUGGGGUCGAACUGACGCUGAGGCGCGACAGCGUGGGGAGCAAACAGG
This 253-nucleotide ribosomal RNA is filed under the name uncultured bacterium. Its description in RNAcentral is "partial 16S ribosomal RNA". It matches the Rfam family "Bacterial small subunit ribosomal RNA", at positions 524 to 776 of the family's 1533-position model. The record is from RNAcentral.